Long non-coding RNA from Humulus lupulus (European hop), 263 nucleotides. RefSeq lists it as uncharacterized. NCBI's taxonomy places the organism in Eukaryota, Viridiplantae, Streptophyta, Magnoliopsida, Rosales, Cannabaceae. The transcript is spliced from 3 exons. The record is from RefSeq and is a predicted model, not a curated record.
AGCUAAUCAGGUCGCCAUUCUUGGAGGGUCGGUGGGAUUUUUUUCAGGGCUGAUGUCUUCCACGCAGUAGUUGAGGACAACAUCAACACCAGAAAUGGCGAUGGUUUGGCUGAUGAUCAUAGUCAUGAGAACCGAAGUGAUAGCUCUGAUGCUCAUCCAGGAGUUGAAGAGAGUGAUUCUUCUGAAGAUGAGGUUGCUCCUCGAAAUACAAUUGGAGAUGUGCCCUUGGUGUGGUAUCGGGAUGAAAAACAUAUUGGUUAUGA